Molecule: long non-coding RNA, 1519 nt
Organism: Portunus trituberculatus (swimming crab)
Lineage: Eukaryota; Metazoa; Arthropoda; Malacostraca; Decapoda; Portunidae
Exons: 2
Source: RefSeq, a predicted model, not a curated record
UAUUAUUAUUAUUAUUAUUAUUAUUAUUAUUAUUACUAUUACUAUUAUUACUAUUAUUUUUAUUAUAGGGAGCGUUAGUGUAUAAUAAUCAAAUAUCUAAGCACAUGGCAACACUUUUUACAACAUUUAUGAAGCAACAACUCAAAAUAUAACUUCAUAAAUAAACAUAUGGAAGGAAAAUACCAAUAAUAACACUAUCUGAUAACCCUGACACCUGGACCCCCUCAUAUAUACCCCCCCUCGGCACCUGUGUUGGCAGAUUGGUCGAAAAGUAGCGGAUUGGGCUACUUUUAAUUAUUUUGUGGUGAGUAGGUAGAUGAAGUUCGUGAAGUGUCGUGUCUUGCCCGGCUCGUCCGUUCGCCCCCUGCAACGCGUAUCAGUUAGCAAUGGUGUAUCGUGUGUCAAAGGAUGCUCGGUGCUUGUCCUCCUUUUGUGUGUGUGUGUGUGUGUGUGUGUAUGUGUGUGAAAUCUUCAAUCUUCAGUUCCUAAGCAAUGGGAAAGUGGUCAAAUUACGAUCAAGCUUUUCAGAAUGCUUGGUUGAGGAACCCUGUCUUUGAAAAGUGGUUGGAAGAAGUGAACAAUAUUUUGGUCCAAUUUAGAUAAUGUAAAUAAUUUAUAGAAAAAAAAAACAAGCUUAAGAAAACACGAAAAAAAAAAAUAAUAAAAUCGUAUAUACAUCGUGAAAGAGGACUCCACUCUCCCUCCCUCACCCCAUGGAUAGAAACGUGAUUGGAUAGUUAAGAUAAUUAGGUAAUAGUGUUUUUGUAUUGGGCUACACCGCUGUGAAAUCCGCUACUUUUCAUUUGGAGAAUCUGGCAACGCUGCUCGACACCUCAAAGCCUUAGUAUGCCGCGGGCUUGGACGGGAGAGGGUGUGCCGCGUGAGCUCUUGUGGACAAUGUGAGCUUUCUUUAAAAUCCAAGUUCCUGUGAUAAUUAAAAGUACUGGAACUUACUACAAACAUAUAAAGUGACGAGAAAUACUAGAAAAGUGACCCCGUGGUGAAGACUAUCCCCCCACCACCCCUUCCUUUAAUUACCAGGUGAAGGGAGGCCGCCCCCCCCCCAAACACACACACCCCCUACGAUUACCCCCACCCCCCCAACACUGCCAAAACACUGCCACUUGAAAAAAUAGAGGAAAAUUAUUGUUGACUGAAAUUUGAAGAAAAAAAGGUGAAAAUUUUUUGAUAUAGAAAAUCAGGAAUUGUUCAGAAAAUCAGGAAUUGUUAAAAAAUCAGGAAUUGUUCAGAAAAUCAGGAAUUGUAACGAAAAAUCAGGAAUUGUAACGAAAAAUCAGGAAUUGUAACGAAAAAUCAGGAAUUGUUCAGAAAAUCAGGAAUUGUUCAGAAAAUCAGGAAUUGUUCAGAAAAUCAGGAAUUGUAACGAAAAAUCAGGAAUUGUUCAGAAAAUCAAGAAUUGUAACGAAAAAUCAGGAAUUGUUCAGAAAAUCAGGAAUUGUAACGAAAAAUCAGGAAUUGUAACGAAAAAUCAGGAAUUGUUCAGAAAAUCAGGAAUUGU